UACGUAGGGGGCAAGCGUUGUCCGGAUUUAUUGGGCGUAAAGAGCGUGUAGGCGGCCUGACAGGUCUGCUGUGAAAACUCGAGGCUCAACCUCGAGAUGUCGGCGGAAACCGUCUGGCUAGAGUCCGGAAGAGGAGAGUGGAAUUCCUGGUGUAGCGGUGAAAUGCGCAGAUAUCAGGAAGAACACCUAUGGCGAAGGCAGCUCUCUGGGACGGUACUGACGCUGAGGUGCGAAAGCGUGGGGAGCAAACAGG
Molecule: ribosomal RNA, 253 nt
Filed under: uncultured bacterium
Lineage: Bacteria
Description: partial 16S ribosomal RNA
Rfam family: Bacterial small subunit ribosomal RNA
Source: RNAcentral